This 4018-nucleotide long non-coding RNA is filed under the name Olea europaea subsp. europaea. The record is from RNAcentral. Lineage: Eukaryota; Viridiplantae; Streptophyta; Magnoliopsida; Lamiales; Oleaceae.
GUUUUAAUUGUUAGAUUUGUGUUCGAAGGAAUUUCAGUUGGGUUUUUAAUAGUGGGAUUUUGAACUUUUAACUCAAUGAUUUUAUCUCUUUCGUUAAUACAUAUCCUGGAAAGUCAGUGUGUCGUCUUCAAUUCUUACCCGGUGAUUGUUCGACGUAAGUCACCAGAGAAAUCGGAAAUGCAGUGUUUCUCUGCUCGACCGCUCCCGCCAUAUUCAGUACAUCUACGGUGAAAACUUCGAGCCCGCAUUGGUUUUUGGAGGAAUUAGUUCAUCGGCCCCGGCGGCACGCAGUCUUGGUACGUGCUAUAAACAUCUCCGUCGGAAAAAAAGUGAAUCUGCACUGCCAAUUGGGAAGGUGACUUAUUUAUCAUCUCCGGAGUCACACGCUUCAAGAUUAUUUAUGUUCGACCCUCCCCUGAAUUUGGUCUUUUUUCUCUCCCAUUUGUCCUCUCAAUGGUAUGUUAUUCACUUCCUAAAAAUUGUAAUGCGCAAGCACAUGACUUCUGUUUUGAUUUUGUAUGUUAUGUGCAUCAUCACUCAGGCUGUAGGAGCAAUUUUGAGUUCGGCCCUAAUUGCUAUUUUUGUUGAAGAAAAUAUUUAAAUGAAUAUGUGAGUUAACUUUACACUUGCAGUUAUGGAGUUCACAAUUGCAUGUAGAAAUUCACAUGAUCAAUGUAGUCUGGUACAUAAUUGAUAAUUUGGUUGAUGUGACUUGUAUUUACCCACUCGUGUUUAUUUUUCUUUAGUAAGCACUAUGCAUUCUUGUUCGAUUCUGGAGCCUACUACCAACUUGAGGAUUUUUAAUUUUUUUUCUAGAGAAAGAAUUGGGGUAAAAGAUACCAAAUCUGAAUACAAAAUCUAUGCUGUAUUUAUAUAAUGUAACUGAUAAGUAUUUCAUUACAACUAGAAGAUUGGAAAAUCUAUUAAUGAGUAAUUUCUAAAUGUAUUCCUAGAACAAGAGUGUCCUGUUGGAAUUUAAUCCAUCUAAAGGUGAUCUCCUUCAUUGGGAAUGUGAUUUCUAUCAUUUUUCAUGGGCCGAAAUAACUCGACUUAGUGAUAUAUGCUGCAAAUGUUGCUCCACUAGUUACGACACUUGUGGUAUCCAAGUAUCAUCUAUAGAAGGAUGAUCUUUCCAUCGAACAAAGAAUUAAUGACAUAAUGAUCCUCUAAGACAUCUAUAGUGACAUCAUUUGUCCAUGCAGAAAAAUGAAGAAUGAUAACUGGAUCCUUGUAUAUAUGAGGCUUUCCAAGUUUAGGAAAAGUAAGUAGGGUUUAUUUUAUAGAUAUUCUAGUAUUUUAUUUGUUGUUUCUUGCUUAAAUUAGAUUAGUUUAAACCCUUUUAAUAGCUUAUGCAUUGUAAUAGGAGACUUAUAAUAUUGAAUACAAACAUAUUUAUCCAAAUUUCUGCUUCUUCCCCUUCCCCUUCCCCUUCUUCUAUAAUCCUUGUUCUUGUUAGUUUCAUUCUAUGUCAACAACCUUUGAUUGACCAUUAAUUUCAAUGUAGGAAGGAAAUCGUACAAGUGGAAAAUUUUCUUGAAAAACAAUUUAGUCGUACAACAAGCAUUAGUAGUUUUGGAACAUGGAAUUAACAAAACAAAAUCAUGACCCCAUCUUUAGAUCCCCUUAAUAGAGUGAUAUCAAUAAACCCUGAGGGGUGGCUCAGUGGCCAGAUCUUAGAUCUGUUUCUCAAUAGUCACCAGUUCGAGUUUUCUCAAAACCACUGAGGUGAGUAACCAGCUGUAAACUUUAGGGCCCCCUGGGAUUAGUCGAGGUGCGUGUAAGCUGGCCCGAAAACCCAUGAUAAAAAAAAAAAAAAAAAGAGUGAUAUAGGUAAGCCAUCACAAUAGAGGUCCUAACUUGAGUGAAACUAGAAAUUGGUGCAGGAGUGCACUGUGGACACUAAACUUUAUGGCGUCUAGCAUGACAACAAAGAUAGAAUUUUAGAAGCAGAUGGAAGGUACUAGAAGAAGAAGACUUUUGCAUCUACUUGAGUUAAGGUUAUACGUGAUAUAUUCUUGAAGGUUUGAUCCAUUGGCUGAUCCAGGAAGAGUGGAAUGAGAUCCAUUACUGGACCUACCGAAGGAACUUGGACUAGAUUUGUCAAGCAUCAACAGUUGGGCUAGGUACAUCUCUUAUGAUUCAGGGGAAUGUAAUGUAAUCUCACAUUUAAUCUCUACUUUUAGGCCAUUUGUUAAAGGUGGUGGGACAUAAAACUUCAUAUAUGAGAGUAUCUUGUCCAUCGUUUAAAAUUUUAUUUUAUUUGAUUUCAAUUUUAGCCUUCGAAGUGAUAGAGUACUGAACUGGACCCUCAACAUUACAUAGUACCAUUUUGCCAGCAAUGUUGGGCAGGUCUACAAACUUGUUAAACGAGUAAGUUGGGCAUUUUUCAUGCCAUAUUCCUCAAUGUACUCAUGGAAUAUCGAUUCUAGAAUACCUCAUUUGCUUCAAUUCAUCCUUUCACUGCUCUCAAGGGUGUUGAUCAAUCAAGAAAUGCUUUACGGCACAUCAAGUGGAAACGAUCAAAUUUGAAAGAUCAUGGCAAUUAUUGUUUUAAGCCUGCUAAGUGAGAAUAACCAUAUUUAUAUGCACCGUUUCGGGGUGCUUAACCGUGCCAAGCUUUAUUUAUGAAUUUUGAAUUUCAUAUCUAUGCCAGUUUCGCAAGUCAAUUGUUGUUAUAGGAGAGGAUGAACAAAAACUAUUUAUUCGAGUGUCCUUAAUUGGUAACCAUCUGUGUUUUCUUCUGGGGAAUAUGCAGUCUUGUACAACAGGAAGAUGCUUCAUUUGAUUGUACUCAUAUACUUUAUGAAUUUGAGAUAAAUUAUGUUUAACAGUUGCAGAAAUGUGUUAGGACUCCAACCAAGAAAAGAAGUUGCUGUAAAAGAACACAGAAAUAAGUAACUGAACUUUUAAUNGUAUUGAAGAAAUUGACUUCAUAACCGAAGGGUAAUAGACUUAGAUAGGGACUCUCCGCUAUCUCUUCCUUCUCUCAAUUUAUGCCUACCUCCAGACUCUCCUUCUACCUCUAUUUAUGACUUUCUCCUAACUAAUUUUGCCUAACUACUUUCCCCUGCAACAGAAUGCAGUCCCCCUUUCCUGCCAGCUGGUGAGUCAUGCUUCAUUACUCUUCCAGAUUAAGUGAAUCGGAUGGGAGGCUUAUCAAAAUGCAUUACAUUGAAUUAAAUUCAUAUUUUUGCAUAUUUUUUGACACUUCCACCAGCAUCUUUAGCAGUUUAUAGCACUGGCAUGUUACAAAGAAGAGUCACUCUUGACGAUGAUAUCAAUGUUUUGUUCUCAGACUUCAAAGAAUUGCGCUUCCAAAGGCUCACCUGCCAAACCUUCUAAAAGACAGUACUUAUUUAGCCUAUGUUACACUAUGUUUUUUAGAAUCUCUGAGGAUUGGCAGCUUCAAUGGACAAAUUAUCUGAAAUGAUCUAAAAAGAGGUGCCUGAAACCUUGUUGACACUCAAAAACUGUUCGGCCUUGAUAUCAAAGAUUUGACGCAACAACUUAGCAUAUGCAGGUAAUACCUUCCUCGAGAAUUUGUAAAAUUCCACAACUAGUGUUACUUUAUAUUACAUCAGUAAUGAGUGCAAUUAUAUGAUUUUUGGAUUGUUGAGGCAAAGGAUAUAUGUAAGUCCUCGUGCAAAGAAAGAACAGAAGCAAUAAUUCUGCUAUUUAUGUUCCAUCAAAAUUUCUCAACAUGAAAGACGAAUAUCAUUUUAGUCUUACAGAUAUCAAGUUCACAAUUGCAUGUAGAAAUUCACAUGAUCAAUGUAGUCUGGUACAUAAUCGAUAAUUUGGUUGAUGUAACUUGUAUGUGUCCACUUGUAUUUAUCUUCCUUUAGUAAGCACUAUGCUUUCUUGUUUGAUUCUGGAGCCUACUACCAACUUGAGGAUUUUUUAUUUUUUAUUUAUUUUUUCCUUCUAGAGAAAGAAUUGGGGUAAAAGAUACAAAAUCUACGUUGUAUUUAUUUAAUGUAACUGAUAAGUACUUCUUUGCAACUAGAAGAGUUGGAAA